Molecule: long non-coding RNA, 1752 nt
Organism: Aegilops tauschii subsp. strangulata
Lineage: Eukaryota; Viridiplantae; Streptophyta; Magnoliopsida; Poales; Poaceae
Source: RefSeq, a predicted model, not a curated record
CUCCUUCUUUGUGUAAAGCUUGCAUAUUAUGAGAAAAAAUGCAUUAGAAUUACUCCAUAAAGUGUUAUUAUGCAUAAAAACAUUAUAAAUAACAGUAGGAAAACAUGAUGCAAAAUGGACGUAUCAGGCUCGUCACAAACCCUUCAUCCGAGUGAGCUGUAUAUCGUAUAUCGCACAUACCUUGAUCUGGCUGACCGUUUCUAUUGUGUUGGCUAGUCGCAAAUAGUUCAUUCAAGUGAACUUUAUGCCAUAUAUCGCACACACCUUGAUUUUGCUGACCGUUUCUGUUGUUCUGGCUCAUGGCAAACAGUUCGUAUGGAUCAACUGUAUGCCACGUAUCGCACACGCAGCUUUAAUCUGAAUCGUGCUUGAUGUCUCCGCCAUCGCACACAAUUCGUCUUAUUGAUGACAAUUUUAUUAGAACACAGUUUGUGAUUAAUGCAUCGCACACAGUUUGGUCGAAGGAUAUCUGAUACUAGUGUCGCGUUAGUAGCAUCCUGCUGUAGUGCACGGUUGUGCUUCUGGCGACCAUGGUCUCGUCGUCACUCAUCACUGGCGGCUACCGAUCGUUCCAAUGGACUCCUUGUUCUGCCCCAAGCUCGACAUGGUCAACAUCAAGUUUUGUUGUGUCCUAGACAUUUUUGGUCACAUAUUAGACCAGAAAAAAAAUAGUCUUUUCACGAGUUAGUUAACACUGUUUGACGGAAAAAAAUGGAUGGCAAUGUCAUAUAUGACACAAUAUUUUAGAUAGAGUGCCUAAUUGGGUAGAAAUAUUGUUUUAGCGCCAAAUGGGGAAGCAUAUUUUUAAACAGGGUCCAAUAAGGAAUCCUAUCUUAUAAGAAAUAAGAGUUCAUGCCGACCUUUGCAUAUCUAAGAUGUACACGCCCAACCCAACACAUAUGCGGUACAAUACAAAAGACAGUACAUCAAGCCAUAGAUUUAUGAGGGUGUGACUGUAUAUGUCUAUCUUGUAAUUGGCGUUUCUAUAAAGAUCGCAUGGCACUACCUACUCCGUCGUGCAAGCAAGUAAAACAGGACCAAAACAUAUCUCAAAUCAAAUAAAAAAACACAAAAGCAGGAACAUAACACACAAGAUCACAUAGGCGAAAAGAACCUUUUAGAGCUUUUGUCAAAGCCAUGUCGCCGCAAACGGAUUGUGUCAGUCCAUAACGAGGUGCAUGCAUACUCGAGGGCUCUUUCAUACGAGACGGCACGUACCCACGCAUGUCUCGUGUCUCACCCGUCGUCGUCGUCUUCUCCUCAUCAGAUUCACUACGACAUAUAUAUUAGCUACCUCCGCCAUCUCUCCACUCAGAGUCAGAAAUAAAGGCAGCACCGACCAAGCACAAGCUAGCUUCUUGCAUCUAUUCAUAAUGGACCGGAGCAACAUUGGAAGCCUUGGGUUGGUGGCGUUGGUGGCUGUGGUGUCGACCAGCAUCAUCCUUGUAUCCUACCACCUCCGCCGCCGCCUCCAGGAUGAUACCAAACUCAACAAGACCGCCGAGCAACAACGACAGAGCAAGAUGACAAUGAAGGAGGUGGGGUUCAUGGACGACGUUGCGGAGGAUCUCUCGUCGGACGAAGAGGAGUGCCCCCGUCGACUGGGUACGACUGCCAUUCGUGUCCCCAUCCAACCGUUGCUACGCAGGGUCCCUCGAUUCAACAAUUUGGCAUUCGAGUUUAAUUAAUUAAUUAAUUAGAUUGUAUUGCAGCAAGUCGGGUCACAAGAAAUAAAGCAGCAUUUUGCUUGCA